AGGUGAUGGUGCAGCCCAUCGUAUCCUCCGCGGCGUGAACUCUGGGCUUUGGGGCUUUGAUGAGUACAUGAACCUCGUAUUAGAUGAUGCAGAAGAAAUUCAUUCUAAAACAAAGUCAAGAAAACAACUGGGUCGGAUCAUGCUCAAAGGAGAUAAUAUUACUCUGCUCCAAAGCGUUUCCAACUAGCAGUGGCCAAGCAUGGGAGAGGUUGAGAAGGGGCUCAGGGGCUGCUGGUGACUACAUUUACUCAUCCUGUUUCACUUGUACAUUCUCAUUGGGGUAAAAAUAAAUGUGAGCUUGUUUUUG
RNAcentral lists this long non-coding RNA (307 nucleotides) under Rattus norvegicus (Norway rat). RNAcentral's name for it is "long non-coding RNA NONRATT008219". Lineage: Eukaryota; Metazoa; Chordata; Mammalia; Rodentia; Muridae. The record is from RNAcentral.